Molecule: ribosomal RNA, 1437 nt
Filed under: Triticum aestivum (bread wheat)
Lineage: Eukaryota; Viridiplantae; Streptophyta; Magnoliopsida; Poales; Poaceae
Description: partial small subunit ribosomal RNA
Source: RNAcentral
AUGGAGGAGGAAACGCGAUACGGCUUAAUGGGCCGACCAGGUUCGCUCGGCCCUCUGCAGCUUCCUGCUGUUGGACGCAACGAUCCAAAACAGUUAGGGUUUUCUUCCAAUCGAGAAAGGAAACCAGAUCGAUCUUGUCAAGUCCCGGCCGGCAAUAUGGCGUCGCCGUCGCUCCCUCCCGCAGAAAGCCAAGCCAACAACUGCGACAGCGGCAACACCACGCCCCUGGCCGGCACCGCCAACGGCAGCGUGCUCCUGCCCCACGACUUGCUCUACGAGAUCCUCCUGCGCCUCCCCGCGAAGCCGGUGUGCCGCCUCCGCGCCGUGUGCCGGUCAUGGCGGCUCCUGCUCUCCGACGCUUCCUUCGUCGCCGCCCACGAGCACCGCCACCGCCACCACCUGCUCGUCGCCGACCUCAGAUGGGAGACGUCGGCCGAAGCCCCUCGCGUGGACUUCCACAUCAUGGACACGUCCGGGCACAGGGCGAGGCAGAUACGGUUCGAUGAUAACCCUUACGCCAGAAACCUCAGCUGGAGCGCGGCGCCUAGAAACCACGACCAGCUGCUCUGCCUCGUCGGCGCGGACAGUCGCGCCCGCGUGAUCGACCCGGCCACCGGUGUCGUGUUCCUCUUGCCUGAUGACCGCCCAGAUGAUGAUCACCAUUACCAUUACGGCCUCUCCAGACGUUUUGUGCUAGGCCGGUCCUCCACAACAGGAGACACCAAGGUGCUGGUCGUCGCCGGAUGGUACGCGAAGGUCCUUACCCUCGGCGAUGGAGCCGGUAAGUGGCGGAAGACAUAUUACCCCCAAGUAAGCUUGGCAACUUCACCCAGGAGUGUGGCCCUGGUCAAGGGCGUCCUCUAUUUCUUGGCAUGCAAACACGUUGGCAUCGCAGCAUAUGACCUCGAGGAGGAGACAUGGCGGCCGGAUCUCCUCAACUUGCCGCUGCCAGUCGACGGAGACAUUGCCCUGGCCGAACUGAGUGGCAGCUUGGUUGCAGUCUACGGCCGUAGCCGCAUACCUGACUAUACUGACGUCUUCAUGGAUAUGUGGUUCCUGACAGACUCCGAGGAGGUUCCGUGGUCGAAUCGGUACACGAUCACCAUGCCAUACCAAGACCAAGGUUGCCGAAGCCCGUGCGAGGCAAGUCGCGGCCAUCCCUUGUGGGAACUGGAUGAUGGGAGGAUUCUCUUGUGGGUGUCGAACGACAAGGCGCGGCUACAGUUGCUGCAGGUGUAUGAUCCGAGAACAAACGCUUACACGGAAGGAGUUGAGAUGUCAUGCCACUGCAUGAUCGGUGUUUACAAAGGGAGUUUACUUGCUGGUCUUCCGUGGAGCAGGAAUUACAGUUUUUUCGGGAGAAUUAAGCGAGUAUAUGAUUACAGUUUGGCAUCCAUACAGUACUUCACGGAUGUGGCUAGAUCUCAGUCGAGUUAG